This 253-nucleotide ribosomal RNA is filed under the name uncultured bacterium. RNAcentral describes it as "partial 16S ribosomal RNA". It matches the Rfam family "Bacterial small subunit ribosomal RNA", at positions 524 to 776 of the family's 1533-position model. The record is from RNAcentral.
UACAGAGGGGGCAAGCGUUGUUCGGAAUUACUGGGCGUAAAGGGCGCGUAGGCGGCCCGCUAAGUCGAACGUGAAAUCCCCGGGCUCAACCCGGGAACUGCGUCCGAUACUGGUGGGCUCGAAUCCGGGAGAGGGAUGCGGAAUUCCAGGUGUAGCGGUGAAAUGCGUAGAUAUCUGGAGGAACACCGGUGGCGAAGGCGGCAUCCUGGACCGGUAUUGACGCUAAGGCGCGAAAGCCAGGGGAGCAAACGGG